This is a long non-coding RNA of Alligator mississippiensis (American alligator), 5883 nucleotides long. RefSeq lists it as uncharacterized. Lineage: Eukaryota; Metazoa; Chordata; Crocodylia; Alligatoridae. The transcript is spliced from 2 exons. The record is from RefSeq and is a predicted model, not a curated record.
AAGAAAUUUCUGGAAAUAAAAUAUUGUAAUCUUCUGAAAUAUUUUCUUUUGAUUUUAACUUCUUUUUAAAUUUUGCAAUAAAAAUUAAGUAAAAAAAACAGUUUGAAACAAAAAUCCUUUCAAGAUGAAAUAUUGAAAUGUUUUAUCCUGAAAUUGCUGAAAUGGGAUGUUUUUACAUUGUAAGAAUGAUUUGCUUUUUCUGGUUUUCUUUUUAAAUGAAAUGCCUUGGAAAUUGACCCUGUUUUGUGAGGUGUUUUGAGUUCAGUAUAACUGCAUAUUCCAACAGGUUUAUGAUUCCCUCAGUUUCUAAUCAGCUUCAGUGCUGUUGGUUCUGUGUCAGUUCAGUUCUGGAUUAUUGCAUGUAAAAUAUCCCUGUUGCUGCCACAUCUCUAUCUUUCCAUGCUUUUACCAGCUGCAUAACAUGCCAUGCAUUACCAUGUUUCCCAGACCUUCCAUCAUGGGAAUUCCCUUGGCAGAGGUCACCUGGAAGAUGCACUAGAUUCCUGUAUCAUCUGAAUGUGUUGGCCAUGACCACCCCCUUUUCAGUGCUGCUAUGGCCCUCCAUGAGACUAGAAGUGAGAACUGGCAUGGCCUAUAGUGAAUCAAGUGGUGUGUGUCAGUGAGAAGCUAUAGGUCUAAUACUACUAUUUUUCUGUGCCAGUAGUACCCAUCAGCAGGUUCCUGCACACAAAUCAAUGGCACGGUAUGACCUUUAUAUAAUACAGAAGCAUUCACUUCUGCUUUCAAGUAUUUUAUCAUAUUUGGUCCCUUAAGGUCUAAUCCUACUUACCAUUCACACACCUAACUGGCAGGUAUGUAGUUAUGUAGCAGCAGUUUCUGGCAACUAAGGUAACGUUUGCAAUUCAGCAUACCUGCUCUGCCCUACUGAGCAUGCUCAGUAGGCCUAGGCUGUAUCCUAGGAGCUGCCCUGGGGAAAAAUAAUCGCUUUAGGUAUAUGCAUAAGGUUGGGAAAGUUCUGAAUUUUUCACUUGUGUUAACUACAAGGAGGACCUGCCAUGUUUAAACUAAAUAGGCUAAUAGUUAGGACACUUACCCAGGGAGCAGGAGACUUGUGUUGCAGUCUUUUCUGUCUUAGAGAGGGCUUGAACCUGCCUUCGGCUUCCCAGCACAAUGCUUGUCCCCAAACUACAGACUAGGCAUUGACCUAGGUCAUCUUUAGGCUUCAUCUUGAGGCUGGCCCACUGCACCUUGCAUGUAAAACUUAUAUGGCAAAAUGAAUAAAUGGCACUGGGAAAGUUUCUGCCGAAGAAUUUCCAGCUCUCUCUCUUGCAAGACAGCAUCUGUUUCAUUAAGGCAUCCUCCCUCUGGCAUGUUUGCUUCUUCCUGGUCUUACAUAGCUCUGUUUCUUGGCUGCAUUUGUGGGCCAGUUUCAAGAGAAGGGCUGGAGAGGAUUCUGGGUAAUGACUAAACUGUUCCAUGGUGAUUAGAGCACUACUGAGAAGCUGGGAAUGCAGAUUUAAAUUCCUCCUAAGUGAAUGGGGCCUAGGACCUAGGCCUUUACUCCCUGGAUAAGUGCCCUAACUACUAGGAUAUGGGGUAAAAGGUAAGAGGUCCCUCUUCUUCCUUCUCCCUGCCCACUGGCAAGUAUACGUGCAGGGUGAUCCUAUUCUCCCCUGUGGAGAAAUAACAUUUCAAACUGUGCAUAAGUGCCAAAAACUGUAGCUACAUGGCUACAUAUCUGCCACUUGGAUUUAAAAAGAGUAAAUAGGACCUGGGCCUUGCUAUCUGAGAGAAAAAAACCAGAUGCUUGAAUGUGACAGUAAUCCUAGUGCUAUUGAUCUUAGUGGGUGGGAGAAUUGCCAGACGAAAUGAGAAAAGAGAAUAAGACUGGGCCCUUAGAUUUUACAUGUAUAACCUGUGUUUAUUAAAUAGAACAAUUUAUGCAUAUUGCACUCACAGUGGAGAGAAAAUAAUGUGAAAUUUCAUAUGAAAAGUGUCCCUCCUCUUUCCCCCUCCCCCCAGCAGUGCUGCUUUUUGUGAUAUUUGGGUAUCUCUUCUAAAGGAAGAAAAGUUACUUUUCUGAUGGAAUGGGAGCAUAGGAGGCAAAGAAAGAGAAGAAGGGCAGUGGAAAGGAGAACAUGUACACAACUGUUGUUAGAGGAUAGGAAGCCAAGAUCUGGGGAUACUCAACCUUGAAUAAGCGCUAUGAUUUGCGCUGCUAUACUAAAUGCACUUCAUGGGGAAGGAGGUUAGACCUGAGCCAGAGCUACAGCAAUAGCCAUGCAUUUCAAGCACACCCAGAAGAAAGAAGGGAGAGGCUGACCUCUUUCCCUUUUAGUGACAUGCAGAAAGAAUGUUCUUUGUGAAGUCUGUAUAACAAAAACAACACGAUCCCAGUAAAAGCAUUAAGGCUUGUAGGAGAGCACUGUGUGCUGUACAUUCUCAUCAUUGUGCGACCUUGAUAUGUUUUAUUAUUUUAAACACUUAAUUGUGUUAUUUAAAACCUUUUGUAAUUAUCCUGUUCUCUGGAGGCACAGUUAAGGCUUUUGCACAACACUCCUGGGUAGAUCCUGAAACAAUUAUUGAGGAAAUCCUGUGAAAUACUAUAUUACAGAAGCUUUUUAUAGGUUAGUUAUAGUUUAAUAGCUACGGGGCUGUAUAUACUUGCUAGCUUGCUGUUUGUUCGUGACUGACGUACUUCUUAUAAUUACCGGUAAGGAACUGUAGUGGCGAGGAAUUAACAAAGGACUAUAUUGCGCCACAUUUCCAAAAUUAUACUGCUCCUAUUAUCCACGUUUUCGGGCCUAAUGCCCAAGUGUUGCUAUUUCCUAUUUCUAUUUUGGUCAAGUCUGCAGGCCUCAGUCACUCUUAAGGUCUUUGUGAAGUGCAAUGCAAAAAUCAAUGGAGCUGGAGAAAAGUGUCAGUAAUCAUAUGAACACAGGGCUAGACAGGGCCUCCGUGGAUAUCAAGUCCAGUUAAAGGUGAGAGGCAAUGGCUAGGGCAGAGUUAAUGUGUUCUCAGCUUUGAUGGAUACCUGGAACUACCUAGGAGCUUGACCAGAAGCAAUAAAAGCUAAUUAACAAAAAGUCUCAAAGCUGCCUCUUGCUUCUUCCUCUCAGCUUGUAGGAGAUGGGGUGUAUCUACACGAGCCACCCACUGCGCAAUUGUUACUGCAGAGUCAUUUAAUACUUGCAUAACCAAGUACUAAAUGACUGCUCAGUAACCGUUGUUUCUGCACAGUUGUGUCCCAGCACAAUUGCCUAGUAACACUUACUGUGUAAUAGCUCAUUCCUGCUGCACAGUAGCGUUGCAUCACAGUUCGUGCCUGGCAACACUACUGCGCAGUAGUAAUGAGCAACUGAGCACUAAGCGUCUCAUGUAGAUGGACACAGGAUGUUCAAAUUGUCCCUCGUUAUAGCUUUUGUCUGUUCCCCUUUCCUUUCUUUUUUCAGACUCUUCCAUGCUGUUGCAGUAGCUGUGAUUGAUGAUGAAACUUUGCAUGGGCAUCACAGUGUUGGCGAUGUGUUUUGAUAUUAUUCUUGAGGUGCCACCUUCUGUAGGCAGGAAGUGUGAUGUCUCUUUGAGGAAUGUCCCUGGAGAAAUUAAUAACUAGCUUAUCUCCAUGUUCAAAAUAAAAAUCAGCGUCUUCCGCUGUCACCAGGGAGUUCACAGGAGUUUUGUCUUGUACACACUCUAGAUUAUUCAACAGCAGCUGCAUAUCUUGGAUCAGACUCACAUUCAGCCAAAUUUUUACACACUGGCAUUCUACUUAUGAGCUCCUGUGCCUUUAUGAAUACACAUAUUCUGACACUAGGAUUUCCUAAGCUAUCUUGCUUAGAUUGACCAGCUACUGCACAGAAUGAAUAAGUGCCUUGCCUACAAGGCUUGUACUGUUUUGUUUCACAUUUAGGUCAUUGCGCUGGAAACGUGAUACAUUCAGUUAAUCUUCAACGGGAGAUUUCAGACAUUAUAGAUCCACUUAGACCUUGUGAUGAAUUAGUUCAGUGUUUGGCAAAUAUUAAAUAACAUUUUUUGUUGACGUGGAAGUGUGACCUGCAGGCUGCAGCUGGUUCCAGUGUUUGUUACUGCUUGUGUCCAGCCCGUCUGUCUCUUCCUUUUUCUGUGCUCUGUCUUUUGAAGCACAGCUGGUUUACGUCUGUCACAAUCAAUGGAAGGACAUUUCCGAACUGGUAAUUACUGAGAGGAUCCGGUGCUGAUGGCUUUUGGAGCUGCCAAUCCAGGGAGUUGCUUUUGGCUCCUGCUGAGUACAGUAUGUCUGCAGUCUGACCAUUUAUCUCACUUUACAUACUUGAACUGAAAGAAAGGUUUGUGCAAGCACUUGUAGCUCGUUCCCUCACGCCGCCUCCUCCCCCCGCCACCCUUGCUGUUAUCAACCAUUGCAGCAGCACUAAAAUGUGUCAAAUAAGCUAAAAUAAUCUUGAAGAAAUAUUAACAAGGCAUUUAGUCAUGGUGUAAACUAUGACUGUGAAAUCAUCCUUGGCUGAUGAUUACAUGAAAAAGCAAUAAAUCUGUCUCAGUAAAAAUACUGGGCUAAAUUCUAAUUAAUCGUUAUAGUCCCAAAUUGUCAAACUAAGAUAGUUACCUAAAUCCAUAUUUAGGCACUUAUGAAGUUCUCGGCUUUUCAGAGGUGCUGAUCUCAAGAAUGGCUGGUAAUGAACACUUUGAAAGGAUGGGAGGAAAUGAGGCCUUUAAUUUAGAUGGCUGGAUAGGUAUUUAGUUGCCUAAUUAAGGGCAUCAAAAUUUGAACAUGUUUCCCUUCUUCCUUAGAGUAAUGGAACAUAUCUUCUCCUUUUAAGCUGUUAGAAGAAAAAGCUACUUUUGAAAGGUGUGGAUAAAGAGAGCGGAACUAACAAUGAUGAGGCAAUAUCUCCACAUCAAUUAAUUUUGGUUUAACUUGGCCUAUGUAGCAAGUAUCAGAUUCUUCUGCAGAGGCAGCAUACCUUCCUUUCAUUGGCCUAGCAAAAAGUCAGGCAUUUUUUAAGUCAGACAACAAGGACGCUGUGAUGAAGGCAGUCUGCUCAGUUAAAUGGUGUUUGUUCCAGUUUUGUUCUAUUGUGUUUCUUGCUUUCCUCCUUUAAAAAUUUAUAAAAGAUUCUUAAACGUUCCUUUGGCAUACAGAGGUCUCAUUUAUCUGCCCAGUCAUAUGAAACAAGAGUAAUGUUGACUGUUUAAUCUCUAGGAGAUAGUUCCUCAUGCAUUCUUCUCAUUCUCAGUCUCUCUCAUUCCCUUUGUUGAAGCUGUUUUAACUUUACCCAGUUGCUGCUCUCCAUCACAGCCUUCAUUUCCGCUCCUUCUCCCUCUGCUACUGUGGUUACUUGGUAAAAGUAUGUUUGUACAAGGAGAAAUGCUAUCUUCCUGCCUUGGGCAUUUUCGCUCACCUGCUGGUCAAAACCAUUCACAUCCGCCUGCUUCUCAGACUCCAUGGAGACUGCAUGUGAAGCUGAAACAAGGUUGAAUAUGGCAGAGCAAAUCCUCAUCUGGCGUAAAGUGUCACGGCUCUGCUCCAUCCUUCUUCUGAAACAUCCAUGUAAUGAUUGCUACUGUUACAACAGUGGAUUGUGUUUUUCUCCUGGGGAAAUUAGUUCAGAGCUGGACUCCGCAAUAGAGAGUGACACAGAGCCUGAUUCUCUUACAAGUGCAAGUGAGAGCAGACUGAGGCUGCAAAAUGACUUUGUGAUGAUAGGUACUGCAAGAAUGUAACUUUCUAACAGUAUGUGCCUCAAAAAACUGAAGGAAGGUAUAACUCCCUUUUACAAUAUUUAAUCUAAAUUUGUGCAUACUGGUGUAUAGACCUUCUGUUGCUAGACCUUCUGUUGCUGUUAAUAGAUACGUUUGCUCUGAUUUUGUCUUUUCUUAGCUCUAGAAGUGAAAAAUGUAUAAUUAAAAUGAUCAAAUAUUCCA